RNAcentral lists this ribosomal RNA (413 nucleotides) under uncultured bacterium. Its description in RNAcentral is "bacterial SSU rRNA". It matches the Rfam family "Bacterial small subunit ribosomal RNA", at positions 29 to 489 of the family's 1533-position model. The record is from RNAcentral.
AACGAACGCUGGCGGCAGGCUUAACACAUGCAAGUCGAGCGCGCCCUUCGGGGUGAGCGGCGGACGGGUGAGUAACGCGUGGGAAUAUGCCUCUUGGUACGGAAUAGCCUCUGGAAACGGAGAGUAAUACCGUAUGUGCCCUUUGGGGAAAGAUUUAUCGCCAAGAGAUUAGCCCGCGUUGGAUUAGGUAGUUGGUGGGGUAAUGGCCUACCAAGCCGACGAUCCAUAGCUGGUUUGAGAGGAUGAUCAGCCACACUGGGACUGAGACACGGCCCAGACUCCUACGGGAGGCAGCAGUGGGGAAUCUUAGACAAUGGGGCAACCCUGAUCUAGCCAUGCCGCGUGUGUGAUGAAGGCCUUAGGGUCGUAAAGCACUUUCGCCAGAGAUGAUAAUGACAGUAUCUGGUAAAGAA